This 440-nucleotide ribosomal RNA is filed under the name uncultured bacterium. RNAcentral describes it as "partial 16S ribosomal RNA". It matches the Rfam family "Bacterial small subunit ribosomal RNA", at positions 338 to 795 of the family's 1533-position model. The record is from RNAcentral.
CCUACGGGAGGCAGCAGUGGGGAAUAUUGCACAAUGGGGGAAACCCUGAUGCAGCGACGCCGCGUGAGUGAAGAAGUCUCUCGGUAUGUAAAGCUCUAUCAGCAGGGAAGAAAAUGACGAUGCCUGCCUAUGAAUAACCGACUAACUACGGGCCAGCAGCAGCCGUACUACUAAGGGGGCAAGCGUUAUCCGGAUUUACUGGGUGGAAAGGGAGCGUAGGCGGCGGUGCAAGUAGGAAGUGAAAUCCCAGGGCUCAACCAUGGUACUGCUCUUGAAACUGUGGAGCUUGAGUGCUGGAGGGGCAGGCGGAAUUCCUGGUGUAGCGGUGAAAUGCGUAGAUAUAAGGAGGAACACCAGCGGCGAAGGCGGCCUGCUGGACAUUAACUGACGUUGAGGCUCGAAAGCGUGGGGAGCAAACAGGAUUAGAUACCCUAGUAGUC